Molecule: long non-coding RNA, 5012 nt
Filed under: Sus scrofa (pig)
Lineage: Eukaryota; Metazoa; Chordata; Mammalia; Artiodactyla; Suidae
Description: lncRNA (ENSSSCG00045030348.1)
Source: RNAcentral
UUUUUUUGUUUUUUUUUUUUUUUCCUCCUACAUAACAAUAUGUGAUAACACCAAAUUAUUUCUUUUAAGAUCUUUGAUUUUAUGCGUUUUCAGUCGAACAGAGUAUAAUAGCAUGGAGAACUUACGAUUUCUGACUUGUUUCCGCAUAGAGCAUGCUGUAUUUACAUAAACCAAACAAUAUUACCCCUUCGAGACAACUUCAAAAUCUCUUUCGAUGCAUGAUUUAAAGUACUUCAAAAUUUUUUCCUUGUAAAAUGUAAAUGCAUCGAAACAGCUGUAAAAUUGUAUAUGUCAGCUACAUAAACCGUGAAAUACAAUUCAUAAAUGUGCUGCAUAAACAAUGAAUCAUACAUAGAUCCAAAGAGUAACAUUAAUAAUAAUGGCAAAAAUACUCUUCACACUGACUAAAAGCCAAAAAGCGCACUGAACGUGGUCAUUCUUUAUCUCGUUUAAGCCUUACAACAUCCCUAUAAGGGAAGAACAAGUAUCAUCUUCUCUGCACAGACAAAUAAAGGCUUAGAGCAAAGGCUUCUCAGCCUUGGCCCUACUGACCCUUGGGCCAGAUAUUCUUCGUUCCGGUGAGGACACUCCGUGUGUUGUAAGGUGGGUAACAACAUCCUUGACCGCUAUCUACCAGAUGCCAGAGGAGACCCCACUCCCAGAUGUGACAACCAAACAUGUCUGCAGGGGAGCUCCCGCUGUGGUGCAGCAGAAACAAAUCCAACCAGUAACCAGGAGGUUUCAGGUUUGCAGAAACAAAUCCAACCAGUAACCAGGAGGUUUCAGGUUCGCAGAAACAAAUCCAACCAGUAACCAUGAGGUUUCAGGUUCGCAGAAACAAAUCCAACCAGUAACCAUGAGGUUUCAGGUUCGCAGAAACAAAUCCAACCAGUAACCAUGAGGUUUCAGGUUCGAUCCCUGGCCUCACUCAGUGGGUGAUGGAUCCAGCAUUGCCAUGAGCUGUGGUAUGGGUUGUGAAUGCGGUUCGGAUCCCACGUUGCUGUCACUGUGGUGUAAGCCGGUGACUGUAGCUCUGAUUUGACCCUUAUCCUGGGACCCUCCAUAUGACGCGAAUGCAGCCCUAAAAAGUGGGGGAAAAAAAAAAGUCUGCAGAUGCUGCCAAACGUUCACUUCGAAACCACUGGCUUAGAGAAAUUAAGGGAUUUACUAGAGGUUGUACACUUAAGAAUUAGUAGGUCAGGGAUUAGAAGCCAGGCCUGCUGAUUCUAGAAUGUACACCUUCAACCAAUAAAACACAGUGCUAUUCACUCUGUGAUAGUUCCGAGGACAUUAAUUUUCCCUCAAGAUAGAAAACUAAACAUGAAGAUGAACCAUGAGUGUCUUCCUGUGGAAAGAUCUUCCAUGACCACACCAGGCUGGGCCCUUCCAAGUUUUUUUUUUUUUUCCCUAAUUAAGGUCCAUGUUCCAGUGGCUGUUGACCUUGCAUAGGGCUCCCCACCUCACCUAUUCCAACUUUCUUUCUAAAAGCUGCUCCCCAGUCACUUAGUUAAGGCUGAUUCCAUUCUUCAGUAAAUAAGACACAGGCCCCGCCCCUAAAGAGCAGGGCCAACGGCUUCCUACCAAUUCCCUUACAUGCCACGGCUCUGUCUCAAAGUGCAAACCCUUUGCAUAGUGACCACUGGAUGCUGGUUUUUCUCUGAGGGAUCCUCGAGCCAUCAGCGACUAAACACUUUGCAUGUGCCAAAGACUCCCUAUGUGCUUCACAUAUACUAUUUCAUCCUGGGCUCCCAAGAACCCAAGGAGGUAUGCAUUUUUAUUUCCAUUUGACCCAGAGGAAGAGGUUCCUGCAAGCAGGGAACUUAGCCAAGCCUGACAACAAGAUCUGUACCAGGACUCAUAUUUCAAUCAAGGAAUGGAUGACUCUGAACCCCUUGCUCUUGACCCAACCCUCUGCCCUUUUCAUUUCAUGGAUGAGCAAAGACUACAGACGUGUCUCUUCCAAAGCAUGUUCUUGGCUUAAUCUACUCCCUCCAGCUUGCUUAGAAAUGUUCACGUAGGCCCCCCUCUCACCCAAGUUAUGGGAAUAAAUAAUACAGAGCAGAGCGUGGUUCUACUCGUGCAGAGCCGAAGGGGAAAAGUCAGGCAGUGACCUCAUGAACUUCAAAAAGGCAUUACCAUAUUCAAUCAGAGGAUAGAAAAAUACAGGGCAAGUUUUCCUUUAUCUGAUCCUAUCUUUGUUAUUUACUUUUUAUGCAUAAAGAGUUGUGUAUUCAUGUAUGACUGAUUAUAUCGCUUCAAAGCACUUUAAGCGGUAAGUACUAAAAUAGAAAAAAGAAAAAACAAAGAAACCUGAUGGUAGAGGUGAAGGAUUUUUCCUGUUUCAAUCACAUUAUUUAAAUAUAGCUUGUUGGGUUUGGGGUUUUUUUGGGGGGGGGUUUGUUUGGUUGGUUUGUUUUGGUUUUUUUGUCUUCAUUGAGCUUUCCUGAGAACUUCAACUUUGAGGUUGAAGCCAAAUAUGAAAAUUUUCAAAUGUCUAAUGUUUUGAUGAGAAAAGAAAAACUGGCAGAGUAGGGAAAUGAACUCCAACAGGCAUAUUUUUCUGAUGCUUUGAUUUUAUUCAGCUUUAAGCUGCUUCAUUUAGGGGCACAGGUGGGGAGGGGUUCCAUGGUUGUAAAAAAAAAAAAAUGAUAAAACCACAAGGAUGGAAAAAAACCCAGGAAGUUUUUGGCAUCUCAAGAGUCUGCCUUUAAACCCUGGCUCAACAUUUCUCUACUUUGUGACGUCAGUCAAGUUACAAAUAUUCCCAAAGGUCUUAAUCUAUAAAGAACUUCAUCAGUAAAAGAAACUCUGAUUGCUGUGAAGAUUAAAUAAGAUCAUGCACCUGAAGCACCUGCCACAUGAUGGACCCACAAUAAAUGUAACAGAGUGCCCUUUAGACAUAUUUGUCAAAGUUUAUGUUUUAGCAAUUGUCCCUUUAAUGUCCUUCUCAUGAUUAGUUCACACUACUAUUCAGGCGAAAUCAGAAGUAUCUAAAUCCUAGGUGAUCUGGCUGAUGGCCAAAGGACCAUCACUAUGGGGUCAGACUGUGUCACCUGCCCAGUGACCUCUGUGCUAACUGGCAAUGUUCCUUUUCUCCAAUGAUUUAGUUACAGGUCAAAGAGUGGUUGUCAUCACUGCAAAUGCCAUUUGAUGGUCUGGGCUUCCUUGUAGAAACCCUCAGUAAUUAGAAUUAGAGAAUACCAUUUUUGAGCCAAAAAGGAACCAUAGAAAGUCUUAUGUUCAAUCUCCUCUCUUUACAUAUGAGGACACUGAGAUAAGGAGGGAGUAAACUGCAAAUACAAACUGGUAACAGAAUUGAAAUGUGACUCAAUCUUUUGUCUACACCAGUGGUUCUCAACCAGAGGUGACUAUGUCCCCCCACACACAAGGGACAUUUUUUGUUGUCACAACUAGGGAAAGGAGGUUUACUAUUGGUAUCCAGUGAGUAGAGGCUGGGGAUGUUACUAAACAUCCCACCAUGCACAGGAAAGCCCCUACAAUGAAACCAUCAAUAGUACCAAGGUUAAGAAACUUUGAUCUAGGAGUUCCCAUUGUGGCGUAGUGGAAACAAAUCCAACUGGUAUCCAUGAGGAUUAGGGUUUGAUCCCUGGCGUCUCUCAGUGGGUUGGGGAUCCGGUGUUGCCAUGAGCUGUGGUUUAGGUCGCAGACAUGGCUCGGACCCCAUGUUGCUGUGGCUGUGGUGCAGACCAGCAGCUGCAGCUCCAAUUCGACCCCUAGCCCAGGAACUUCCAAAUGCCGCAGAUGCAGCCCUAAAAAAAGGAAAGAAAAGAAAAGAAACUCUGAUCUAUACUAUUGGACCCAGUGUCCCCAGACACUUCAAAAGCUGCCUCUUCAGCUGCUGCUAUUAGACUUUGGACCGAGCCCCAAGCUGGAAGCCCUCACCAAUGACUGAAUCGAUCAGGUCAAUUCUGCCUCUUUAGUAUUGAAGACCACUGGGAUUAGGAGGGAUUUAGAGACUUGCCUACUCAGGCAACUGAAAGUCUGGGCUUAACUUCGGAAGCAGAGUAAUAUGCCCAGCAUGAGUGUUGCUAAAGUCUUAACGAGGUACUCAGGUCUUAGGCAAUCUAAGAAAAUGAUUCUCAAAGCUGUUUUGGCCAAACAUCACAAAACAGCCAAAUGACGCACACCACAUAGUUAUCAAGUAUUCAGAAUAAAGCAUCACCAACAAAUACAUCCGAUGCUGCACUAAACAUCUCCAGGAUUAAUGGUUUGAUGGAGGAGAUAACAGAGAUUCAAGCACUAAUGUAGAGCAAAAAUACUCUCAGAGUUUCUCCCCAAAGCUAGAGUUCCAUAUUAAAAGAACUUAAACAGAAAAGCAGAGUCAAUGAUCCAAGCAAUUGCAUAUUUUUUGGUUCUUGCCCAUGCAUGCCAUCUGGCUUGCUGACCUCAUAGGCCUCUACCCGGGCGGGUGUGAAGGCCAAACAGAGCUUGAAUGUGUGAAUAUGUGGUGAUCACAAGUAUGAGUCAUUUAUCAAUCUGAACUUAUCUACCUACAUUUCCACCUGGUAAUUCUGGCUUCUGACCCAUGAUAGAAAUAUAUGAAGAAUCCCUAUUGGAUUCGCUCAUAAAUUCAACUCACAUUUAGUAAAUAAAUACCACUUAUAUCCAAGUCACCAUGCUUUGGGGAAGCCUAUCCCCUACUCAAAAAAAAAAAAAAAAAUCCCAAUGAUGCCAAGAAGAAUGACAUAGACCCAACUAACUAGUUCUUGUACAUAGGACUAGAGCAGCGGUAACUGGGGAAACAAGCUUGCUCUCAGAGGGAAAGAUCUAAGAAGGCUUUUUGGAAAGAAAUGGUAUUUGAAUUGGAUAUGGAGAAAAACAUGGGACUUCAACAGGUAAAAAUGAGAACAUUGAAAAUAGGAGAAAGGUUAUAAAGGAAGAAGAGAGGAUAGAAAUUACAAGGCAAAUAGGACCAUCAGUGAGGAGUUGAGCUUGAUGGGAACUUAGGGAAUAACAGAGACAAGCAGGAAUGUUGAGUUGGAAGCAGAUAU